RNAcentral lists this ribosomal RNA (443 nucleotides) under uncultured bacterium. RNAcentral's name for it is "bacterial SSU rRNA". It matches the Rfam family "Bacterial small subunit ribosomal RNA", at positions 355 to 796 of the family's 1533-position model. The record is from RNAcentral.
UCGAGAAUCUUCGGCAAUGGGCGAAAGCCUGACCGAGCGACGCCGCGUGGAGGACGAAGGCCUUCGGGUUGUAAACUCCUGUCGAGAGGGAGGAAGGCGUGGUGCAGAGCCAUGCUUGACCGAUCUCUGGAGGAAGCACGGGCUAAGUUCGUGCCAGCAGCCGCGGUAAGACGAACCGUGCGAACGUUAUUCGGAAUCACUGGGCUUAAAGCGCGUGUAGGCGGGCCGGCACGUCGGAUGUUGAAAGCCCCCGGCUUAACCGGGGAAGUGGCACCGAUACGACCGGCCUGGAGGGGGGUAGGGGGAGCCGGAACUUCCGGUGGAGCGGUGAAAUGCGUUGAGAUCGGAAGGAACGCCCGUGGCGAAAGCGGGCUCCUGGACCCCACCUGACGCUGAGACGCGAAAGCCAGGGGAGCGAACGGGAUUAGAUACCCCCGUAGUCC